Molecule: ribosomal RNA, 865 nt
Filed under: uncultured organism
Description: SSU rRNA
Rfam family: Bacterial small subunit ribosomal RNA
Source: RNAcentral
CUUAACACAUGCAAGUCGAGGGGCAGCAUGGUCUUAGCUUGCUAAGGCCGAUGGCGACCGGCGCACGGGUGAGUAACACGUAUCCAACCUGCCGUCUACUCUUGGACAGCCUUCUGAAAGGAAGAUUAAUACAAGAUGGCAUCAUGAGUCCGCAUGUUCACAUGAUUAAAGGUAUUCCGGUAGACGAUGGGGAUGCGUUCCAUUAGAUAGUAGGCGGGGUAACGGCCCACCUAGUCUUCGAUGGAUAGGGGUUCUGAGAGGAAGGUCCCCCACAUUGGAACUGAGACACGGUCCAAACUCCUACGGGAGGCAGCAGUGAGGAAUAUUGGUCAAUGGGCGAGAGCCUGAACCAGCCAAGUAGCGUGAAGGAUGACUGCCCUAUGGGUUGUAAACUUCUUUUAUAAAGGAAUAAAGUCGGGUAUGCAUACCCGUUUGCAUGUACUUUAUGAAUAAGGAUCGGCUAACUCCGUGCCAGCAGCCGCGGUAAUACGGAGGAUCCGAGCGUUAUCCGGAUUUAUUGGGUUUAAAGGGAGCGUAGAUGGAUGUUUAAGUCAGUUGUGAAAGUUUGCGGCUCAACCGUAAAAUUGCAGUUGAUACUGGAUAUCUUGAGUGCAGUUGAGGCAGGCGGAAUUCGUGGUGUAGCGGUGAAAUGCUUAGAUAUCACGAAGAACUCCGAUUGCGAAGGCAGCCUGCUAAGCUGCAACUGACAUUGAGGCUCGAAAGUGUGGGUAUCAAACAGGAUUAGAUACCCUGGUAGUCCACACGGUAAACGAUGAAUACUCGCUGUUUGCGAUAUACAGCAAGCGGCCAAGCGAAAGCGUUAAGUAUUCCACCUGGGGAGUACGCCGGCAACGGUGAAACUCAA